Molecule: transfer RNA, 73 nt
Filed under: Endomicrobium sp.
Lineage: Bacteria; Pseudomonadati; Elusimicrobiota; Endomicrobiia; Endomicrobiales; Endomicrobiaceae
Description: tRNA-Ala
Rfam family: tRNA
About the family: Transfer RNA (tRNA) molecules are approximately 80 nucleotides in length.
Source: RNAcentral
GGGGAUAUAGCUCAGCUGGAAGAGCGCCUGCUUUGCAAGCAGGAGGUCGUCGGUUCAAGUCCGUCUAUCUCCA